GCGACGCAUGCGCCCGCCGC
This 20-nucleotide small RNA is filed under the name Arabidopsis thaliana (thale cress). RNAcentral describes it as "Ath_wt_07232". Lineage: Eukaryota; Viridiplantae; Streptophyta; Magnoliopsida; Brassicales; Brassicaceae. The record is from RNAcentral.